This 206-nucleotide ribosomal RNA is filed under the name uncultured bacterium. RNAcentral describes it as "partial 16S ribosomal RNA". It matches the Rfam family "Bacterial small subunit ribosomal RNA", at positions 1295 to 1500 of the family's 1533-position model. The record is from RNAcentral.
GGAUUGUAGUCUGCAACUCGACUACAUGAAGCUGGAAUCGCUAGUAAUCGCGAAUCAGAAUGUCGCGGUGAAUACGUUCCCGGGUCUUGUACACACCGCCCGUCACACCAUGGGAGUCGGAUAUGCCCGAAGUCAGUGACCCAACCAUAUGGAGGGAGCUGCCGAAGGUGGAGCCGAUAACUGGGGUGAAGUCGUAACAAGGUAUC